GUCCUAUCGAUAAUAAUCUUAGGUCUAACCUGCUCGCUGAGUAAUUGAAGGGCCGCGGUAUUUUGACCGUGCAAAGGUAGCAUAAUAAUUAGUUUUUUAAUUGAAAGCUGGAAUGAAUGGUUGAAUAAGAAAAUAACUGUCUCUGUUAAAUUUUUUAGAAUUUUAUCUUUAAGUAAAAAAGCUUAAAUUUGGCUAAAAGACGAGAAGACCCUAUAGAGUUUAAUAAUUUUAUGUUUUUGGCUUUUUAGGAUUUUUGGGGUAAUAAACUAUGAUUUAUUUGGUUGGGGUGACUGAAAAAUUAGAAUAACUUUUUCUUUAUUUUUACAUUAAUUUAUGAAGAAUUUGAUCCAGAUUUUUUGAUUAUAAGAGUAAAUUACCUUAGGGAUAACAGCGUAAUUCUUUUUGAGAGUUCAAAUCGAAAAUGGAGUUUGCGA
RNAcentral lists this ribosomal RNA (434 nucleotides) under Anoplistes forticornis. RNAcentral describes it as "partial large subunit ribosomal RNA". It matches the Rfam family "Bacterial large subunit ribosomal RNA", at positions 1825 to 2523 of the family's 2925-position model. The record is from RNAcentral. Lineage: Eukaryota; Metazoa; Arthropoda; Insecta; Coleoptera; Cerambycidae.